CAGUAGCCGCGGGAAUACGGAGGGUGCAAGCGUUAAUCGGAAUUACUGGGCGUAAAGCGCACGCAGGCGGUUUGUUAAGUCAGAUGUGAAAUCCCCGAGCUUAACUUGGGAACUGCAUUUGAAACUGGCAAGCUAGAGUCUUGUAGAGGGGGGUAGAAUUCCAGGUGUAGCGGUGAAAUGCGUAGAGAUCUGGAGGAAUACCGGUGGCGAAGGCGGCCCCCUGGACAAAGACUGACGCUCAGGUGCGAAAGCGUGGGGAGCAAACAGGAUUAGAUACCCGGGUAGUCCCUGUCUCUUAUAC
RNAcentral lists this ribosomal RNA (301 nucleotides) under uncultured bacterium. RNAcentral describes it as "partial 16S ribosomal RNA". It matches the Rfam family "Bacterial small subunit ribosomal RNA", at positions 509 to 807 of the family's 1533-position model. The record is from RNAcentral.